This 417-nucleotide ribosomal RNA is filed under the name uncultured archaeon. RNAcentral's name for it is "bacterial SSU rRNA". It matches the Rfam family "Archaeal small subunit ribosomal RNA", at positions 47 to 470 of the family's 1478-position model. The record is from RNAcentral.
AGCCUGGCGAGUCUUUGUAGUAAUACAAGGCAKACGGCUCAGUAACACGUAGUCAACCUACCCUAUGGACAAGAAUAAUCUCGGGAAACUGGGCAUAAUUCUUGAUAGAUCAUAAUGCCUGGAAUGGUUUAUGGUUAAAAUGAUUCGUCGCCAUAGGAUGGGACUGCGGCCUAUCAGCUUGUUGGUGAGGUAAUGGCCCACCAAGGCGAUUACAGGUACGGGCUCUGAGAGGAGAAGCCCGGAGAUGGGUACUGAGACACGGACCCAGGCCCUAUGGGGCGCAGCAGGCGAGAAAACUUUGCAAUGUGCGAAAGCACGACAAGGUUAAUCCGAGUGAUUUCUGCUAAAGAAAUCUUUUGCCAGUCAUAAAACCACUGGAAUCCCGCGGCCAUGGCGGCCGGGAGCAUGCGACGUCGG